Molecule: ribosomal RNA, 347 nt
Filed under: uncultured bacterium
Lineage: Bacteria
Description: bacterial SSU rRNA
Rfam family: Bacterial small subunit ribosomal RNA
Source: RNAcentral
CGGCCGCGUCGACGGGAGCUUGCUCCCUGAUUCAGCGGCGGACGGGUGAGUAAUGCCUAGGAAUCUGCCUGGUAGUGGGGGACAACGUUUCGAAAGGAACGCUAAUACCGCAUACGUCCUACGGGAGAAAGCAGGGGACCUUCGGGCCUUGCGCUAUCAGAUGAGCCUAGGUCGGAUUAGCUAGAUGGUGGGGUAAAGGCCUACCAUGGCGACGAUCUGUAGCUGGUCUGAGAGGAUGAUCAGCCACACCGGGACUGAGACACGGCCCGGACUCCUACGGGAGGCAGCAGUGGGGAAUAUUGGACAAUGGGGGCAACCCUGAUCCAGCCAUGCCGUCGACGCGGCCG